GAGUGUUCUAUCACCCCUAACUGCAUCAUUUCCUCAAUUUCUUUCUGAAUAUUUUCUUUAACUGCUUCGGGUAUGCGAUAGGCGGUUUGGCGAAGGGGGGUCUGGUCUAGGGUUUCAACUUUGUGAGUGGUUAACGGACUGUACCCAGGUAGGUUGGAAAACGUGGCCCCCUUGUCCUGGAUUAGUCUUUGGAUCUGGGUUCGCUCCUAGGGGUCUAACCUUUCUCCUAAC
Non-coding RNA from Pelobates cultripes (western spadefoot toad), 231 nucleotides. The record is from the annotation of a GenBank genome assembly. Lineage: Eukaryota; Metazoa; Chordata; Amphibia; Anura; Pelobatidae.